This 390-nucleotide unclassified non-coding RNA is filed under the name soil metagenome. RNAcentral describes it as "partial contains 5.8S ribosomal RNA, internal transcribed spacer 2, and large subunit ribosomal RNA". The stretch from base 1 to 122 matches the Rfam family "5.8S ribosomal RNA", at positions 35 to 154 of the family's 154-position model. The record is from RNAcentral.
GAUGAAGAACGUAGCGAAAUGCGAUACUUGGUGUGAAUUGCAGAAUCCCGUGAACCAUCGAGUCUUUGAACGCAAGUUGCGCCCGAAGCCAUUAGGCCGAGGGCACGCCUGCCUGGGCGUCACACGUCGUUGCCCCCCCAUCUACUCCUUCGGGAUUGCGGGGGGCGGAUGAUGGCCUCCCGUGCGCCUCGCCGCGCGGUUGGCAUAAAUGCCAAGUCCUCGGCGACGCACGCCACGACAAUCGGUGGUUGCGAAACCUCGGUUGCCCGUCGUGUGCGGUCGUCGCGCAUCGAGGGCUCGAAAAAAGUGCCGGGUUCCGGCUCGGCUUUCAACGCGACCCCAGGUCAGGCGGGGUUACCCGCUGAAUUUAAGCAUAUAAUAAGCGGAGGA